AUACGGAGGGUGCAAGCGUUAAUCGGAAUUACUGGGCGUAAAGCGCACGCAGGCGGUCUGUCAAGUCGGAUGUGAAAUCCCCGGGCUCAACCUGGGAACUGCCUUCGAAACUGGCAGGCUAGAGUCUUGUAGAGGGGGGUAGAAUUCCAGGUGUAGCGGUGAAAAGCGUAGAGAUCUGGAGGAAUACCGGUGGCGAAGGCGGCCCCCUGGACAAAGACUGACGCUCAGGUGCGAAAGCGUGGGGAGCAAACAGGAUUAGAUACCCUGGUAGUCCACGCCGUAAACGAUGUCGACUUGGAGGUUGUGCCCUUGAGGCGUGGCUUCCGGAGCUAACGCGUUAAGUCGACCGCCUGGGGAGUACGGCCGCAAGGUUAAAACUCAAAUGAAUUGACGGGG
Molecule: ribosomal RNA, 396 nt
Filed under: uncultured bacterium
Lineage: Bacteria
Description: partial 16S ribosomal RNA
Rfam family: Bacterial small subunit ribosomal RNA
Source: RNAcentral